GAUGAAGAAUGUAGCGAAAUGCGAUAAGUAAUGUGAAUUGCAGAAUUCAGUGAAUCAUCGAAUCUUUGAACGCACAUUGCGCCCGCCAGCACUCUGGCGGGCAUGCCUGUCCGAGCGUCAUUUCAACCCUCGAGCACCGCUCGGCGUUGGGGGAGCGGCCCGCGCGCCGCCCCCCGAAAUGCAGUGGCGACCUCGCCGCGUCCUCCCCUGCGCAGUAGCUCUCCAGAGAACCUCGCAUCGGCGGCGCGGCGGCGGUCACGCCGUGAAACAAUCCUCAAGAGUUGACCUCGGAUCAGGUAGGGAUACCCGCUGAACUUAAGCAUAUCAAUAAGCGGAGGA
Molecule: unclassified non-coding RNA, 339 nt
Filed under: soil metagenome
Description: partial contains 5.8S ribosomal RNA, internal transcribed spacer 2, and large subunit ribosomal RNA
Rfam family: 5.8S ribosomal RNA (bases 1-120)
Source: RNAcentral